CGCUCUCAUUAUUCACCCAUCCCCAGUGGUCAGUGGGUGACGUAUUUAGGACUCAGACUUGCAGUUUGUCGACUGACUAAACAAUAGGGCUUUAUUGAGCAACUCCCAUGGGCCCGUGUCUCUUAGGCCUAUUUUACAGAAGGAAAAGCUGAGUGAACACAAAGAAAUUGCUCAGAACCAGACAUGGCUGGGGCUGCCUUGGGGUGGUUUUUGUGCUGAAUCACGGGCCUGACUGCUGCCCCAGAGCAAAGGAGAACCGUCUCCUGUGGUCGGUGGAGUUUCACUGCUUCCUCUUCUGACUUUUUCCACUCGGACUGAUCCUCGUCCUUGCCUGGCCACUUCUGCGUGUCCCACAGAGGCGGAACUUUGGGCCAGGUGGGCCCAGGGGGAGAGACCAGAAGGACAGAACAGCCGCUUAGACGGGCUUUCCAGGUGCACUGCCGUAUUUGGUAUACAAAUAACACCUCACGUCUGUGGUGAUGGGUCCUUAGGAAUAGACAGAGAAAUCGCCUUGGAAUUUGGUGACUUCAGGACAUGGCUUUGUUUUAAAAAAUUCAUUUCCAGACCUCAGCCGACAAUUUUUCCCAGCAAGAUGAUGGGGGCAGAUACUCAUCUUUCCAGGGCAAUGUUGGGAAAGAAAGGGCGAGGACUGAAUGCUUUCCCUGACCCCAUGCUCAUCCAUGGUCUUGGCUCUCCUCCAGUCUAGGACGCCACUUCUCUACACAGCAAUCCAACCACCUUCUACACCUCAGAUGGUUGACCCGGGGCCACUAAAAUGGACAACUCUUUGGAAUGAGUCUGGUGAAGAAGAGGAACUGUAGGCAUAAAGUUAGAGCACAACCUUGGAGCAAGCUGAACUGCAACUGGAGAAGCAGACUUCAGGGGCCCAGACGAAGAGAGGACAGCUCGCUGUGGGUUUAACGUUGACCCUGAUUGCAGACAACCAUCGUCAGGCAGCUGCAGUGCAUCUUCAGCUCAACCUGUUAGAUGGACAAAGGGGGCCUUCAUCCAGGAGGAUGCUGGGGAGGCAGGACCAAGGCUCUGCAUUGCUGAGAUGUGUUUGGCUUGACUGUACCAGCCAAAAACAAGAAGUAACAAACGUAAUGAGGUGGUUGCUGAUCUGUAACCCCCCGGUGAACCUGUUGCAUCUGACAGGCCGUAAAUCCUGAAGCCACUCAAAAGAACUGCAACUGCAAUUGACAUGUUCAGCAAGCUGUUCAAUAACAUGUCGUGGCGUUUUAUACACAUUCAUUCAACAAGCAUUUAUGUACCAGGCACUGUAAGAGAUGCCAGUGAUUAAAGGAUGAG
Molecule: long non-coding RNA, 1308 nt
Filed under: Equus caballus (horse)
Lineage: Eukaryota; Metazoa; Chordata; Mammalia; Perissodactyla; Equidae
Description: lncRNA (ENSECAG00000059611.1)
Source: RNAcentral